Long non-coding RNA from Centropristis striata (black sea bass), 480 nucleotides. RefSeq lists it as uncharacterized. NCBI's taxonomy places the organism in Eukaryota, Metazoa, Chordata, Actinopteri, Perciformes, Serranidae. The transcript has 2 exons. The record is from RefSeq and is a predicted model, not a curated record.
CCAAAAAUUGAAACCUAUGGUGAUAGAGAGUAUGUGGAAAAAAUUUGCUGCCUGACUAAAAGGAGUUAUUGACCUAAUGGGAAUUCGGGAAACCUACAGGGCUUGUUUGCUUCACUUUAGGGAUGUUUACAUGCUGUUGAGAAGCACCAUGGGAGAUGUAGAUAUCACUAAGGCAUGCAAAAAAUAGAUCAAACCGUUUGAGACAAAGUGUAUACAAGGAAAACAUACAUUUCAGGGCGGACUUUUCCUUUAAUGAUCUGAAAAUAUUCAAUUAUUGUAGCUAUUUUCUACUAUGUUUGCUGUUGCUGCAGUCUAAUACCCUGUUGACUCCUAUGCAAGCUAUUCAAAUCAUCACAUUGUAUGUGGGGUUCUGUUAUGUUUAAAGUGGUACAAUGUUUAAGAUGACCUGACCUCUGAUCAGACUUUGAGCUGUGAGUGUUUAUAGCCCCUUAAACUGCCCUUUCAGGUACACAAUAGAAA